UACGAAGGGGGCUAGCGUUGCUCGGAUUGACUGGGCGUAAAGGGCGCGUAGGCGGUUCGUACAGUCAGACGUGAAAUUCCCGGGCUUAACCUGGGGGCUGCAUUUGAUACGUGUUGUCUAGAGUGAGGAAGAGGGUCGUGGAAUUCCCAGUGUAGAGGUGAAAUUCGUAGAUAUUGGGAAGAACACCGGUGGCGAAGGCGGCGACCUGGUCCUUGACUGACGCUGAGGCGCGAAAGCGUGGGGAGCAAACAGG
This 253-nucleotide ribosomal RNA is filed under the name uncultured bacterium. RNAcentral describes it as "partial 16S ribosomal RNA". It matches the Rfam family "Bacterial small subunit ribosomal RNA", at positions 524 to 776 of the family's 1533-position model. The record is from RNAcentral.